CGCUGGAAGCGGGGCGGGUCUGGGCUUCUGUCCCCGCUCCCUCCGCGCGGGGGCUCUGGGGACUCGGGCGUCGCUCCCUGCGGGGCGCGUUGCGUCCGGGCCGAGUGCGGUGCCCGCGGCAGCCGGGGACGGGGAGGGGAGGCCGGGGACCGAGCGUGGCCGUGAAGGGGCCACGGGCGGCCUGCGGGACCAGCCGGCGAGGAGGGGACAUCGGGCCGCGAAACGCGCUCCCAGAGCCGCUGCGCGCGGCGUGACGCGGGUGCCCCCGUCAGAGUGGGCGAGGGCGGGAAAAGUUAGGGACUGCCUGCAGGUGUGGACGCUGCCGGUUCCUAAUAAGCAAAGAGCGAUGAUUAUCCCGGAGGUCGUUUGAAAAGGAUCGCUCAGGUGAACGAAGCAGGACUGAGAGAAGGACACCUGGUUCAUGGGCUACUGGUCACACUGUGAGGUGGGGGUACUUAUCCCGGCAUCCCAUUAGGAAGGAUUCUGAAGUCAAAAGCUUGGUAGGCUCUCACACUUACUAUGGUGCUGGACUCCAAGGUGACCGGGUUUUGAAGAAACAAGUUUACAGGGGCAUUAGAAAGAAGAACUGAGCCUGAUGUGAAGAAAAAAGAUGGAGGACAAGUUGCCAGAUGGGCUUCGGGGGUUGUUGUGGUAUGAAACCUAAGAGGCCAAGUAUUAGGGAAAUGUAGUUCAAAAUGUAUAGAAAUGGGAUGAGUUUCUGUAGCUAAGUCAUUUUUGGUUUAAAACUAACGUAGUAGUUGGAUUGGAAUUUGGAUUGGAAUAAAUAAAAAAUAAUGAAGGAUUAGUAAGGUUGUUACCUCCAUUGGACCCAAGUCUUUAUUUUGUUUAAAAAAAAUUAUUAUAGAUGUUCUUUAAACUUUAUUCCUGUUGACAUUAAUAAGGUCCUAUAAAUGUGCAUAUAUAUGGGGAAGUGGAGGAAGGGAUAAUAGAUGGGUAUUGGGGUCUUAAAUUGGGGUUUUAGAAUACCAGACUAAUACACCUGCUGCCCCCUGGUGGCAGCGUAUUAAAUAGUGAAGUUCAGAGGUGAGGAAUUCUGGAGAGCUGAGUUGGUUGUAUAAGAGGAUUAUAGGGGGAAUCAGGAGAUGUUUUCUCUUUCCAGCUCUGUUCAUAAUUACUAUCCAUAUGACCUUAGGUAAAUCAUUUAGUUUGAUUACCUUUUAUUUUAUAAGUUUCUUCCAGCUUUCACAUCUUACAAUUCUCUGAUGGUAAUAGCACAUAUUAUGUACUAAAAGAUGUGAAGUUCCACUUUUUCCAUUAGCAGCUGAAUCCUAACGUAUCCUAUAUAUUUAUUUAAGAAAGCAUACUCUAGAGUAACUCCUGAGGCACAAUACAGAUUCAGCUCUGGGCAGCAGACUGCAUAGGCUAUCUGUAGCACAGUCCAUAAUUAAUCAGUGUGACAAUCUUGCAUUAUUAUGAAAGCUCACAAGUUACAUCAUUUAAAAAAUAAUUUUUAUUGUGGUUAAAAAAAUAACAUAAACUUUACCAUCUUAACCAUUUUUAAGUAUACAGUUCAGUAGUGUUAAGUAUAUUCAGUGUUGUACAACAUACCUCCAAAACUGUUACUUCUUAUAAAACUGAAACUGUGUACCCAUUAGACAGCAACCCCCUACACUCCCCCUGCCCCUAGCAACUACCAUGCUACUCUCUGUCUAUGAAUUUGACUAUUCUAGGUACCUCAUGUAAGUGGAAUCAUACAGUAUUUGUCUUUUUGUGACUCGUUUCUUUCAUUUAGCAUGAUGUUCCUAAGGCGAAUCCAAAUUGUAGCACGUGACAGGAUUUCUUUUCUUUAAGGCUGAAUAUUUGUAUGUAGAUACAUUUUACUUCUCCAUUCAUCUAUUGACAGACUCUUGGAUUACUUCCACUUCUUUGCUAUUGUGAAUAAUGCUGCAAUGAACCAAGGAUAUGCUGCAUUUUUAGUAUACAGUGUUUACUAAUGCAGAGAGGGUUUAUACAAUUUUUACAUGCAUAAAAGGUUAAAUUUCAUUAUAAAAACACCAUUCAACCAUGCUAAAUAACUAGGAUAUAGCUUUUUGUGUGGAUGAGUAAGUUAAAAAAGGAAUUAACAUUUAUCGAACAUACAAACUGUAUGUCAGGCACUUUUGUAUCUGUGAUCCAUUCUAUUGUUUAGUGUUUACAGUAAUUCUGUGAUUUACCCUUCUCUUGGGAGGGGACUAAUACUUAUUAAAAUCACUGUGUACCAGAAUUUUUAUAUACGUUAUCUCAUAUAAUCUUCAUACAUUAACCCUGAGGUGUGCUUUAGUAUCCCUGAUGUAACUGAGGUUCAGAGAGAUGAAACACCUUGAACAAGGUCACAUAGCUAAAAGGUAGCAGAGUUUUACCUGAGUACAAAGUGAAACAUGUCUGUUUCAGAUGUGUUCGACAUAUACCAUACUUUCUCCUGCUUUCAGAAAUAACACUAUACAUCUAUGAUCUGAAAGAUGUUGGAACAAUAUCAAGAUUACACUGCUAUAAUAAUUUAUAAAUAGAAACACUUCUGUAGUGCCUUUCCAUUAAAUAACAGUCCUUGGGUUUUCCUUGCAGAGAAACAGCAUCGAUUCAGAUGAAUUCAUCUGAAAUGUAUCAAGGCUUACCUCCUGGGGCAUUUUGCAAAAUAAACCUUCCUAGGACUUCCAAAAGAGUGGUUCUCUUGUGCCGGUCCCCCCAUUUCUGAGGUUAUCUUCCAUGUGUUAUUUUCCCCUUUUUCUUUCUCCCUUUCCUUUGAUGUGGCAGAUAGCUAGGACCGUUUUCACCACUUUCUGCUCCCACCUCUCUUGAACGCUAUGCUGCUUGGGUUUGGAGUUUUGAUCUGCUCCUUGCAUAGUGUUUUUUCACAGGUAAAGGGUUAUAAAAUGUCCUUAUAGGUGGUGGUUUUCUUGGAGAGUCAGUAAGCUCUUGGAAAGGCCCAUUGCAACAUGGGAUUUUUUGACUAACAGAGAUGUAGUGGUAUAGCAUCCGAGCAGCCACUUAAGCUUCUCUAAGAGUUCCUGUGCACUUAGGAUGACUUACAUUGGGAAUUUACAAACCUAGUGAUAGGUGAGGCUCAGGAAUUGUUCCAAGAUUCAUUCAAGGCCUUCGAUAAUUCCUGAAAGCAGGAUGUUAUGCAGUAAAUAAAGAA
RNA transcript from Neofelis nebulosa (Clouded leopard), 3136 nucleotides. It is a transcript of the gene named gamma-glutamylamine cyclotransferase, with no coding region annotated. The transcript is spliced from 3 exons. The record is from RefSeq and is a predicted model, not a curated record. NCBI's taxonomy places the organism in Eukaryota, Metazoa, Chordata, Mammalia, Carnivora, Felidae.